Molecule: ribosomal RNA, 313 nt
Filed under: uncultured archaeon
Lineage: Archaea
Description: bacterial SSU rRNA
Rfam family: Archaeal small subunit ribosomal RNA
Source: RNAcentral
CCACCGCUAUUGGAAUUCGAUUAAGACAUGCGAGUCGAGAGUCGCAAGGACUCGGCGGACCGCUCGUAACACGAGGAUAACUUGCCCUUGGGUGGGGGAUAACCUCGGGAAACUGAGAAUAAUACCCCAUAGAUCUAGAAAGCUGGAAGCUUUUAGAUCGAAAACUCCGGUGCCCAAGGAUUGGUCGCGGCGUAUCAGGUAGUAGUGGUGUAACGGACCCCUAGCCUAUGACGCGUAAGGGCCUUGAGAGAGGGUGCCCUGAGAUGGACUCUGAGCAUGAGUCCAGGCCCUACGGGGGCCAGCAGGCGCGAUG